This 676-nucleotide ribosomal RNA is filed under the name Oroperipatus sp. DVL-2011. RNAcentral describes it as "small subunit ribosomal RNA". Lineage: Eukaryota; Metazoa; Onychophora; Udeonychophora; Euonychophora; Peripatidae. The record is from RNAcentral.
UUUAUUUAAUUUAUGUAAACAAAUUAAUAACUUAAACUUUUUAUAAAAAUCUUAUUAAACAUAUUAUUUUAUUAACAAAAACAUAAGUAAUAUAUUACUUUAAAUUAAAAGUUUUUUAAAGGCAAAAUUCGUGCCNGCAGCAGCGGUUAUACGUUAUUAUAAAUUAAUUUUUUCUGAAUAAAUUCAUUUAAUAUAUUCUUUUUAAAGUGAAAUUUCUAACAAUAAUAAUCCAAAAAUUAUUCAUAAUUUAGAGAAAAACCAGGAUUAGAUANCCUGUUAUUCUAAUUUUAUAUAAUAUUUCAAAGGAAAUACNUAAUAAAUUUGACGGUAUUAACGUUUACAAAGGAAUUUGUUUCUUUAUCGACAANNCANGACAAACCUUACUUAAUACUUAUUUGUAUACCACCGUAAAGAAAUUAUCUUAAAUCAAUUUCAUAAAAGUAAAUUCUAAAAAAUCAGGUCAAGGUGCAAUUUUAUUAAGAUGAAAUGAAUUACAUUUAUUUAUAUANACAUAUAAAAACUGNAAAUAAUUUUAAAAAUAGAAUUUGUUAGUAUAAUUUUAUCAUCAUGAUAAGUAGAAAACUAAUAUUAAUAUGUACAUAUCGCCCGUCAUCCUUGUCAAUAAAUCAAGNAAAGUCGAAACAAAGUAGAUCUAAUGGAAAUUAGANCUAAAUCA